CGGGAGUCGGACUUCAUUCCCGACUUCGACUGCAGGGCGACUUCAACUGCAGGUAGACUCCAUCCAGACUCCUACGGGAGCCGGACUUCAUCCUCGACUUCUACUGCAGGCAGACUUCGUCCGGACUCCUACGGGAGCCGGACUUCACCCCUGACUUCUAUUGCAGAUGGCCCUCGCCUAUAGUACUAACGCUCAAAGCACCCAACGGUGGAUGGCCCGCCAGCAACAUCUGAGCUCC
RNAcentral lists this long non-coding RNA (238 nucleotides) under Elaeis guineensis (African oil palm). RNAcentral describes it as "long non-coding RNA (EGUI_LNC012920)". Lineage: Eukaryota; Viridiplantae; Streptophyta; Magnoliopsida; Arecales; Arecaceae. The record is from RNAcentral.